RNAcentral lists this ribosomal RNA (568 nucleotides) under Janthinobacterium sp. 4w4. Its description in RNAcentral is "bacterial SSU rRNA". It matches the Rfam family "Bacterial small subunit ribosomal RNA", at positions 96 to 660 of the family's 1533-position model. Lineage: Bacteria; Pseudomonadati; Pseudomonadota; Betaproteobacteria; Burkholderiales; Oxalobacteraceae. The record is from RNAcentral.
UGGCGAACGGGUGAGUAAUAUAUCGGAACGUACCCUAGAGUGGGGGAUAACGUAGCGAAAGUUACGCUAAUACCGCAUACGAUCUAAGGAUGAAAGUGGGGGAUCGCAAGACCUCAUGCUCGCGGAGCGGGCGAUAUCUGAUUAUCUAUUUGGGAGGGUAAAAGCCUACCCCGGCAUCGAUCACUAGCUGGGCUGAGAGGACGACCACCCACACUGGAACUGAGACACGGUCCACACUCCUACGGGAGGCAGCAGUGGGGAAUUUUGUACAAUGGGCGAAAGCCUGAUCCACCAAUGCCGCGUGAGUGAAAAAAGCCUUCGGGUUGUAAAGCUCUUUUGUCAGGGAAAAAACGGGGAGAGCUAAUAUCUCUUGCUAAUGACGGUACCUGAAAAAUAAACACCGGCUAUCUACAUGCCACCAGCCGCGGGAAUACAUAUGGUGCGAGCGUUAAUCGGAAUUACUGGGCGUAAAGCGUGCGCAGGCGGUUUUGUAAGUCUGAUGUGAAAUCCCCGGGCUCACCCUGGGAAUUGCAUUGUAGACUGCGAGGCUAUAAUCUGGGAGAGAGGG